CCUACGGGAGACAGCAGUGAGGAAUAUUGGUCAAUGGACGAGAGUCUGAACCAGCCAAGUAGCGUGAAGGAUGACUGCCCUCUGGGUUGUAAACUUCUUUUAUAUGGGAAUAAAAUGUUCCACGUGUGGGAUUUUGUAUGUCCCAUAUGAAUAAGGAUCGGCUAACUCCGUGCCAGCAGCCGCGGUAAUACGGAGGAUCCGAGCGUUAUCCGGAUUGACUGGGUGUAAAGGGAGCGUAGGUGGAUUGUUAAGUCAGUUGUGAAAGUUUGCGGCUCAACCGUAAAAUUGCAUUUGAAACUGGCAGUCUUGAGUACUGGAGAGGUGGGCGGAAUUCGUUGUGUAGCGGUGAAAUGCGUAGAUAUGACGAAGAACACCGAUGGCGAAGGCAGCUCACUGGACUGCAACUGACACUGAGGCUCGAAAGUGUGGGGAUCAAACAGGAUUAGAUACCCGUGUAGUC
Molecule: ribosomal RNA, 460 nt
Filed under: uncultured bacterium
Lineage: Bacteria
Description: partial 16S ribosomal RNA
Rfam family: Bacterial small subunit ribosomal RNA
Source: RNAcentral